UCGACCAAACUAACGAGCACCAUUUUAAACUGAUGACUGUUUGUUUAAAUUCUGUUUUACAUGAUUUGGACGGCAAAGCUUUCAGAGUUGCCAAAGUUGGAUUUACCUUUUCCCACUUCAGGCAAUCCCAGCGGUGGUAUUUCGACCAAUUAUUUCUUUAUUCUAAAACAAAUGAGCCGAUUAUAUUUAGUCUGCAUGACUAUGUUGUCGGUUUUAUUUACAGAAGUCGUGAAAAUGAAGAGCCUGUAAAUAAUAACACUGCGAAAGAUAUUAAUUUAUCGAGGAUCCAGCGCCCUUCAAAUGGAACUACUGCUGAAGUACCCUUCGGCAAAGCAGCUUAAGCCCCAUCUGUCCCGGUGGAGCUGCACAGCGAUCGGCAGUACAAGACCGCCGUUGUACCGGGCACUUGUGAGAUGUGUCUCUUCGAGAGUCACUACCCUCCCUUUUCUUCUUAAAAGAGGGAGAGUGGGCAGUCCACUUGCCUCACACUCUUUUUUUGUUGUGUGUACUUUAGACAGUAAAAAAGUUUUCGAGAAGACAAGAAAGAAAGAGAGAGAGAGAGAGAGCGAGAGAGCUGUGGCAGCAUUCAGUCCUGAGCCAGACAGGGUUCACAUGUGGCCCCAAAGGCAGCAGACGGUGUAUUGAAUUACUGUAACUCAAGGUGUAAUGUGGUAGCUGUGUGGGAUAUGUAAGAAUUACACAAACGGAAGCGGAGGCGUCUUACUUCAGCUUCAGCGUUCUACUGCAGCCAUAAAAUGUUGAAUUGUAUGGUUUAUUUUCUUACAUUUCAGCUGUAACAAUUCAUCGAUGAAAUAGCAGCCACUCUUUCUCCAGUGAUGAUUAAUGUAAUUAUCAUUAGUUUGACCAAUUACAUUAAACUGCCAUUUCAAAAUAUAAAAUUAAGAGAAAGACAGAUGAAUGCAUGUUGUGUAAACUAAAAAACAUAUUAUCUGCGAAUUGCAAUUUUCAAUGUGACACCUGCUAUAUCUAUGACUAAUAACGUUUUAAGACUAUAUAAACUGUGUUUUAACUGAUUUUCUUUAUGCGGUCAAAUAUUGUUGAGCAUUUACAUUUCAAGAAUUAUUUUUUCUUGUUUUUUGCAUAGUUUACUGUAAAUGUGUCGAUAAGGAUUGUUUUCUUCCACUGUAACUAUUGUUUCAACCGUAUGAGAGACAUAAAGAGUACAGUACUCAUGUUCCCUGAAAUUACCACAGUAACAUAAUAUAACAGCCAUUUCUCCCACUUCCAUAUCCUAAAGACUGCAGGCUGAGAAACUGAUCAAGCAGAAAGGUUUAACAUAAGAAUGCAUUUAUCCGUGAAAAUGUUGCAGAUGAACAAAACCAUCAGUGUGUGAAUAUUGAUAUAUAUUUUAACUACAUCUCUACUUCCACAGGAAACAGUUCAACAUCGGUGAAUGGAACAUUCACAUUGUAUAAUAGAAAAUAUUGCCAGUUUUAAAUCGCACAAAUUCAUAUGUAAUCUAUGGUUGUUGUGAAUUGAUUAGGGAAUACAAUGUGAAUGGGAUUUGGUCAGACUGAAUAAAAAAAAGAGAAGACAUGAUGGUGCGAAGAUGACCUCAAAGAGAAAACCCAUCAAAAAGAAAUCGUGAAUCACUUAUUCACAGGAUCCUGGUUACUCUCUCGUCACAUGAGGACACACACACGAGCUGCUCCUCGAGCUCACACGAGUCAACACUCCCAGGAUGAUGUCAUCAGAGUCAAAUCUUAGAAUUGCUCCACUGGCAAUGCAUUGAGAGAGGAUUGGUGAUAGUGCCCAAUGGUUAGAGAGAGACAAGACUCUCAAAUACACUCGCAGCACUAAACAGUAUUUGUUUGUAAUGUUCCAGUUCUUGAGUCCUGCUAAUUGACUACCGUGGUCAGUAAGGUAUAAACGUAUACAAAACUUUC
Pseudoliparis swirei is the source of this 1907-nucleotide long non-coding RNA. RefSeq lists it as uncharacterized. Lineage: Eukaryota; Metazoa; Chordata; Actinopteri; Perciformes; Liparidae. The record is from RefSeq and is a predicted model, not a curated record. The transcript has 2 exons.